Pangasianodon gigas (Mekong giant catfish) is the source of this 74-nucleotide non-coding RNA. Lineage: Eukaryota; Metazoa; Chordata; Actinopteri; Siluriformes; Pangasiidae. The record is from the annotation of a GenBank genome assembly.
AACAGUGGUAGCUCAGUGGUUAAAACAUCAGACUACCAACUGGAAGGUUAUGAGUUCAAAUCCCAGCACUGCCA